Molecule: ribosomal RNA, 495 nt
Filed under: uncultured bacterium
Lineage: Bacteria
Description: partial 16S ribosomal RNA
Rfam family: Bacterial small subunit ribosomal RNA
Source: RNAcentral
GACGAACGCUGGCGGCGUGCCUAAUACAUGCAAGUAGAACGCUGAAGGAGGAGCUUGCUUCUCUGGAUGAGUUGCGAACGGGUGAGUAACGCGUAGGUAACCUGCCUGGUAGCGGGGGAUAACUAUUGGAAACGAUAGCUAAUACCGCAUAAGAGUAGAUGUUGCAUGACAUUUGCUUAAAAGGUGCAAUUGCAUCACUACCAGAUGGACCUACGUUGUAUUAGCUAGUUGGUGGGGUAACGGCUCACCAAGGCGACGAUACAUAGCCGACCUGAGAGGGUGAUCGGCCACACUGGGACUGAGACACGGCCCAGACUCCUACGGGAGGCAGCAGUAGGGAAUCUUCGGCAAUGGACGGAAGUCUGACCGAGCAACGCCGCGUGAGUGAAGAAGGUUGUCGGAUCGUAAAGCUCGGUUGUAAGAGAAGAACGAGUGUGAGAGUGGAAAGUUCACACUGUGACGGUAUCUUACCAGAAAGGGACGGCUAACUACGUG